RNAcentral lists this small nuclear RNA (18 nucleotides) under Arabidopsis thaliana (thale cress). RNAcentral describes it as "snRNA_00624". Lineage: Eukaryota; Viridiplantae; Streptophyta; Magnoliopsida; Brassicales; Brassicaceae. The record is from RNAcentral.
GUAGGCAAGGGAAGUCGG